UGACAGCCUGGGGUGCUGAGUGCUGGGCUGUUAGGGAUGAUGGUCUGAGGUGCUGAGUGCUGGGGUGCUGGGUGCUGGGUGCUGAGUGCUGGGCUGUUGGGGAUGACAGCGGAUGUUCUCCUCCCUGUCUUUUCAGGGCAUGUGCACACCACCCUCGGCCGUCAUCCUGGAGACGCGGGAGCUCGGCUGCCAGGUUGCUGAUACGCUCCAUGUUCAGGAGCUGUCCCACCGGGAAAGGUGUCCGUGGGGGUGAGGAGCCCUCUUCUGAUCCUCCUGCUUUCCUGGGGGGUGAAGCUGCUUUCCCAGAAAACACCAGGCCCCCCUCCCAGCUGCCGGACCCCACAGUGUGGUCUUUGUCCCCAGGGGCAGUGCUUUCUGCCCCUUUUGUUCUCUGCUGAUCCCCAGAGCCUGGCCCUGCACAGGUCGUCGGUGAUGUCUGUGGAUUAGAGACCUGCUCCCCUGUGCCUCCACAGGGGAGGGCCACACAUGCAUACACAUGCACACUCAGACACAUGGUCACACACAUGAUCAUGCUUACAUGUCACACACUAUACACACGCACUCUUGUGUACACAUGGCACACACUUACCCUAACGCAGCCACACAGUUCACACACACCCACCCCCUCCUGCUGACACUCUCACAGUCACACACAUGCACUCACCACACCCUCCCCUAGUGGGCUCUGGGGUUCCACCAACCGUAGCUGGGUGGCCACCCCAUGGUCUUCACCACUGCGUGGCCCAACACACAAAGGUGGCCUGGGGUCUCUCCCGACUCUAGGUCAGUUCUUCCUGGUUCCCUGGGCCAACAUUCUCCUGCGGGCCCAGUCUCAGUCAGCCCUCACACGUGGGGAUUCCAGCCCAGCCCCCUUUCCCAGACUCCACACUUGGAUUCUCAAGCCAUAGGUAAAGUAGCCGUGCCGGCACCGACUGGCCCCAAAGUGGAGCCGAUGCCACAAAGCACUGCCGGGCCAGACACCAGCCAGGCAGAGUGAGGAGAGCACAGGCCCCUGGGACAGCGGUGCAGGUCGGCUUCCAGCCAACUUUGGGGUCCCCAGGACCCCGCCUUUCUGGAGGGGUCACCAAGCCAGAGCUGGGCUCCACCUGGCCAUUUGUGAGAUGUGCAGCUUUGUGAGCUGGUGCUGCCCCUGGGGCAGUUUAAACAGCGGUGGUGGGAGGAUGUGCAAAUGCUUCCAACCAGGGGCUUCAUUUUCGCUUUUCCCUGGAGAGCCUGCUUGCCAGCACCCCGCUACCAGGGACCCUCCGUGCCUCCCCAACUCCACCUAACCCCUUCUCCAGCUCCCCUAGUGGGGGGCGGCACCUUGCUCUUCUGAGCGGAGCCGGGGAGAGCGAGGACCCCGCACAUCACCACGUCCCUCCUGCCCCCGGCUUCUGCUUGCCUGUCCCCAGGAGCUGGGAUGCCAGGUCGAUUUCAACUAAGUUCUCUUUUACGGACAUACACACCAGUGGGAUUUGAUUACUGGCCUCACCUGCGCUGGAAGAAGCUCUAUCUUUAACUUCUGUUCUGCUCAUUCUGCUCAUGUAUAUAUUCUGAGAUGUUUUAAACAACAAUUCACCCAUCUUCCUGGCUUUCACCUGAUGAAAUUACAAAUGUUCAGAAUUCUCACCACCUUCUGGUUAAGCAAGUGUCAUGGAUUGAACUGUGUCCCCCUGAAACUCUUAUGCUGGAGUCCUAGUCCCACGGCCUCAGAAUGUGGCCUUAUUUGGAGACAGGGUCUUCACAGAGGUGAUCUAUUUAACAGGAGGUCCCAGGGUGGGCCCUAAACCCCAUGGCUGGUGUCCAUAUAAGAUGGGCACAUUUGGACACCGAGACACAGACAAGAAGACGACCACAUACGGCCACGCGGGGUGCCCUCCAAGGAACCAACUCCGGCCGCACCUUGUUCUCGGCCUUCCCGCCUCCUUUCCCGCUGUUUAAGCCGCCCAUGAGAGUGCCCCGUGAUGGCAACGCCAGCGGGCGCAUAUACAGCAGGCCUCUGGGGUCCAGCCUGGGAGCCCAGACACAGACACCGUCUCUACCUGGCAAGAUGGGGUGAUGAAAUGAGAAAUGAAUAGAUCUGGUCUCUGCUCCCGAGACCCCGCACAGGGCUCCAAAAGCCCUCGAAUUUCCUGGGUGAUGGCAGCAGAUUCUUCCAUUCAAAUGAGGUGAGGCUUGGUGGCUCCUGGAGGGGGUCCAGUCACCAGAGAGACCAGCCAGGAUUAGCACCUGCAGCUCUCAACCCUGCACCCACCCUCCUCCAGGGAUCAUCCACCAUCAUCCUUCAUGUCUGCGAUGGAGCCUCCAUAAGAAUGCCUGGACUAUGGGUCCCGAGCAGUUCCAGGUUGCUGAACACAUCCACGGGCCAGGAGGGUGGUGCCCCCCACUCCACGGACACAGAAGCUCCUGGGCUGGGGACCCUUUCCGACCCUGCCCUGUGCCCCGGCCCACCUGGCUGCCCAUCUGCGGCCUUUCUCAUCUCCUUUUCCUGCGUUCUGUGAUAAUUUUGUGUUGCACUCUUGAUAUUUAAGGCUAAUGUGUAACUAGAAAACUGAGUUUUAAUAUUUAAUGCCCUUGGAUUUGGGAAAUCUCUUACUACAUUAUGUUUGGAUAUACUUUCUCUGAGGGGAUAAAUAUUUUAU
Molecule: long non-coding RNA, 2642 nt
Filed under: Homo sapiens (human)
Lineage: Eukaryota; Metazoa; Chordata; Mammalia; Primates; Hominidae
Description: non-protein coding LINC01166:5
Source: RNAcentral